GGAAACUAGCAUAUCAAUAAGCGGAGKAAAAGAAACUAACAGGAUUCCCCUAGUAACUGCGAGUGAAGCGGGAAAAGCUCAAAUUUAAAAUCUGGUGGCCUUUGGUCAUCCGAGUUGUAAUUUAGAGAAGCGUCUUCCGCGCUGGACCGUGCACAAGUCUCCUGGAAUGGAGCGUCGUAGAGGGUGAGAAUCCCGUCUUUGGCACGGACGCCCAGUGCUUCUGUGAUGCGCUCUCGAAGAGUCGAGUUGUUUGGGAAUGCAGCUCAAAAUGGGUGGUGAACUCCAUCUAAAGCUAAAUAUUGGCGAGAGACCGAUAGCGAACAAGUACCGUGAGGGAAAGAUGAAAAGCACUUUGGAAAGAGAGUGAAACAGUACGUGAAAUUGUUGAAAGGGAAACGCUUGAAGUCAGUCGCGUCGUCCGAGACUCAGCCUCGCCUCGGCUUGGUGUACUUCUCGGCCGACGGGUCAGCAUCAAUUUUGCCCCUUGGAUAAUGGCGAGGGAAAUGUGACACCUUUGCGGGUGUGUUAUAGUCUCUAGUCGCAUGCAAGGGUCGGGAUUGAGGAACUCAGCACGCGCCUUCGGGCGUCGGGGUUCGCCCACGAUACGUGCUUAGGAUGUUGGCGUAAUGGCUUUAAACGACCCGUCUUGAAACACGGACCAAGGAGUCUAACAUGCCCGCGAGUGUUCGGGUGGAAAACCCGUGCGCGCAAUGAAAGUGAAAGUUGGGACCUCCGUCGUGGAGGGCACCAACGCCCGGACCAGACCUUCUGUGACGGAUCUGCGGUAGAGCGUGUAUGUUAGGACCCGAAAGAUGGUGAACUAUGCCUGAAUAGGGUGAAGCCAGAGGAAACUCUGGUGGAGGCUCGUAGCGAUUCUGACGUGCAAAUCGAUCGUCAAAUUUGGGUAUAGGGGCGAAAGACUARUCGAWCC
RNAcentral lists this ribosomal RNA (931 nucleotides) under Russula sp. Its description in RNAcentral is "partial large subunit ribosomal RNA". Lineage: Eukaryota; Fungi; Basidiomycota; Agaricomycetes; Russulales; Russulaceae. The record is from RNAcentral.